Molecule: long non-coding RNA, 172 nt
Organism: Amphibalanus amphitrite
Lineage: Eukaryota; Metazoa; Arthropoda; Thecostraca; Balanomorpha; Balanidae
Exons: 3
Source: RefSeq, a predicted model, not a curated record
CUAUUUUCAAGAAGGGCUCCCGGGCAGACAGAUGCAGGACUAAUGGUCAAGAAUAUCACAACUGGGCUGGCGCGUCUGGCAUUCAGGGUUCCUUCCAAUUCCUUUCGGUCCUUCCACCUUGCCUUUUCUUUCCGACACAAAUGGGAACCCAACCAGGUAAGAGACCAGGUAA